Molecule: ribosomal RNA, 234 nt
Filed under: uncultured bacterium
Lineage: Bacteria
Description: partial 16S ribosomal RNA
Rfam family: Bacterial small subunit ribosomal RNA
Source: RNAcentral
GCAAGUCGAACGAAAAUCAAUAGCUUGCUCUUUAGAUUUAGUGGCAAACGGGUGAGUAAUAUAAAGGAAUCUACCUAGCAGUACGGAAUAACUUUGGGAAACCAACGCUAAUACCGUAUAUUACCAUUUAUGGGAAAGAUGUAUCGCUGUUAGAUGAGCCUUUAUCAGAUUAGUUUGUUGGUGGGGUAAUGGCCUACCAAGGCGAUGAUCUGUAGCUGGUCUGAGAGGAUGAUC